GACGAACGCUUGCGGCGUUCCUAAUACAUGCAAGUCGAACGCACUCUCGUUUAGAUUGAAGGAGUUUGCUCCUGAUUGAUAAACAUUUGAGCGAGUGGCGGACGGGUGAGUAACACGUGGGUAACCUGCCCUAAAGCGGGGGAUAACAUUUGGAAACAGUUGCUAAUACCGCAUAAAACCUAACACCGCAUGGCGUAGGGUUGAAAGAUGGUUUCGGCUAUCACUUUAGGAUGGACAAGCGGUGCAUUAGCUAGUUGGUGAGAUACAGGCUCACCAAGACGGUGAUGCAUAGCCGACCUGAGAGGGUAAUCAGACACACUGAGACUGAAGCACGGCCCAGACUCCUACGGGAGGCAGCAGUAGGGAAUCUUCAACAAUGGACGAAAGUCUGAUGGAGCAACGCCGCGUGAGUGAAGAAGGUUUUAGGAUCGAGAAACUCUGUUGUUGGGAAAGGAUGUAUCAGAUAGUAAAUCAUCAGGAAGUGACGGAAACCAACCAGAAAGCCACGGCUAACUACGUG
RNAcentral lists this ribosomal RNA (520 nucleotides) under uncultured bacterium. Its description in RNAcentral is "partial 16S ribosomal RNA". It matches the Rfam family "Bacterial small subunit ribosomal RNA", at positions 28 to 507 of the family's 1533-position model. The record is from RNAcentral.